UGAGGAAUAUUGGUCAAUGGGCGCAAGCCUGAACCAGCCAUCCCGCGUGAAGGAUGACGGCCCUAUGGGUUGUAAACUUCUUUUAUGUACCAAGAAUAUGCCUUACGAGUAGGGUAUUGACGGUAGUGCAUGAAUAAGCAUCGGCUAACUCCGUGCCAGCAGCCGCGGUAAUACGGAGGAUGCGAGCGUUAUCCGGAUUCAUUGGGUUUAAAGGGUGCGUAGGCGGUUUAUUAAGUCAGUGGUGAAAUCCUGCGGCUCAACCGUAGAACUGCAAUUGAUACUGAGAAACUUGAAUAUAGUUGAGGUAGGCGGAAGGAGUAGUGUAGCGGUGAAAUGCGUAGAUAUGAGUCAGAACACCGAUUGCGAAGGCAGCUUGCUAAGCUAUUAUUGACGCUGAGGCACGAAAGCGUGGGGAUCAAACA
RNAcentral lists this ribosomal RNA (422 nucleotides) under uncultured prokaryote. Its description in RNAcentral is "bacterial SSU rRNA". It matches the Rfam family "Bacterial small subunit ribosomal RNA", at positions 355 to 774 of the family's 1533-position model. The record is from RNAcentral.